Molecule: long non-coding RNA, 267 nt
Filed under: Homo sapiens (human)
Lineage: Eukaryota; Metazoa; Chordata; Mammalia; Primates; Hominidae
Description: non-protein coding lnc-SEPSECS-1:2
Source: RNAcentral
CAUGAAAGCAAGAUGCAGGCUGACAUAGAAAUACUGCGACUUGGGAGGGUUGGGGAAAGACAUCCUUGGCAGCUGCCAAUGACCCCUGGGGAAUAUUCUCUUGAAUACACUCCAUGGAGAAAAUUGUUCAUCCUUUGAGAGUUUGGAGGCGAUGCAAAGCGAGAGCUGAUGGCAGAGAUGAUAGUUCAAGAUGGAAACUUGCUUUGACCAGAAAAACUUAACCAAAGCAAUGGGAUGUGAGGAUGCCUAUGUGGAGCUAACUAGGUA